GUUUUUUUACUUUCUAAGUUUUCUUGAUCUUAUGGUUAUGUUUAUAGCCAGUGUAUUUAUCACGAGUAAACACAACCCAAAAUCAUAGGUGUGAGUGUAUGUGUCUGUGGGUAACCUCUGGAAAGGGCAAGCCCUGCGCUUCCUACUUCUGUCAAGGCAUUCGGCCCAGUUGGAAAAACACUGUCACAGGCUUAAGUUCAGUAUGGCAGCUGUGGAAGAAGUCACUUUCCAUGAAAGGCCAUUUUUACUGUUCUCUAACGUAUCUCUAAUGUAAGCCUUACACUUACUAUCUUAUCUUGCAU
Molecule: long non-coding RNA, 302 nt
Filed under: Androctonus crassicauda
Lineage: Eukaryota; Metazoa; Arthropoda; Arachnida; Scorpiones; Buthidae
Source: RNAcentral